AGUUAACUGUUAGAAUAUUGCCCUUUUGAAAUAAUAUGGUGAAGAUAUUUUUGAAAUUCAGUAAGAGAACUAAAUGUUAAAAUCACACUAUGAACAUCACACCCCUUAAGGUGUAAUAAAACAACGACAUCAGGAUCAAGUCUUAAAGAAGACAAAACACAGCGCAUGGUGCAACAGCCUUUAAUACAACGUGCAGCAAUUCCAAACUCUUCACUGAGCAUGCACAAUAUAAAACAUAUCUGAUGAUAAUAAUACACACCAUAGAAAAUAUCUUCAAAAAUAAAAAUAAUUUUUAAAAAAGGGGAAAUUAAAUACUACACUUUGCUCAGCACCCCCCUGGGCCCCUUAACGGCUGUCUGGGGGCCCGGGGCCCGCAGACGACCCUGGGGAGAGGAAGCUCUCAGCAUCCUGUUGUUAUCACACCUCUGGGGCUCGCUGCGACCGGCCUGACACUCAGAGACGACUUCCUCACACAAGCAGCUGCAGUUCUGAAUAAAUUAGACGAGGUCUCUUUUAGCUAGUAGACAGAACUUUGAGUCAACAAGGCACCGUCUUGUUCUUCCGUGAAGCGCACAUGCAUUCCACUCCAGCCAAUCACGUCGGUGCUCGCAUCAGGGCGGCGUUCCCACGGCGACUGACCAGUAAGAGCCCAGCGCGAUAGGAAACGCCUCGCUAGGAUUGGCUUGGCUAGAAUUGUAAAGCUAAGUUCAAUUGUUAAGGAGGCUGCUUGUCAGCUCAAGGGCAAGCUACUUAGUGCUUGCUGCCAGCUGGCGACGUAUCUGGCCGGUAUGUUGGUCCAACCCCCCUCAGUUUGUAACCACGUCAACCCUCACUCCAAACUCGCACUUACUCGGAGCGUAAUCACACCAAGCUACAACUACCCCAGACACAAACCAGGCCCACAUUAACCCUCAGCACUCUACCCUAGCCUUAACCGCGCCAAUCCUCACCAAAACCAUAACCACAUCAAAUGAACACUCCAGGCCGUCUUUAACCUCAGACCUAACCAGGGUUCCCAGAUCACAGCCAAUCAAAUCCAAACCGCCUCCAACUGUUACAAUUGUUAAGCCGUUAUUUGUUUCCUUAGAGGGCCAGUAUUUGGGUCCCUGCAAAGCAAAUGGUAUGAGGGCUGAAUGCAAAGUUAUCUCUGGGUUUACCUCAGAUAUUUUUUUUUAGAUUUCCCAUGUUGUCUCUGCGGAGAUAUAUAUAGUCUGAAGUAUCCUUCUUGGCUUUGGACUUUGCAAUUGCUUUCUGAUUGACUAAAGCUUAUAACAAUUACAAAAAACGAAUUGUGCUUGGUACGGUUUGGUGCUAUGGCUGUAGUUACUCUUUAAAUGCAGUUUGUCUAAUUUAAGCUAGCUGUUGCUUCAAUUACCGGGCUAAAGCCUCACUCCAAACAUCUGAGGUGAUUGACAGGUGGCUAUUGUUAGCUCCUCCCAUUGGCCUAAUUUGGAUAUCAGGUGCUAGCAAAAUGACUAGGUGGUGGCAAAGCAAAAGUCCCUUCAUAAACAUAUGAGUGACAUCACUGAUAGCUUAACAAUAAUAGCGAUAUAAAAUGUCAUAAAUAUUGUAAACAGUGUGAUUGUCGUUGGGUGACUAUUGACACUAUGGUUGCAAAAAACACAAAUCCAUUCUGCUUCCAGGAAGCUGACGGUUACAUUAGCCUGUUGGAAGAUUGGAAAUGUGUCCAAAUAUUGUCAUGCAGUCACACCACGAAACAGUCAGCCAGUGUUAUGCAACACAAAAGCACUCCUUAUAAGGACAAUGUGACAAAAGACAUCUCUGAACAACGCUAAACCAGUCCCACGUCAACCCUGUUCAAGACUUCCUCCUCCACUCACUUCAGUCGGAUCAGAUGGGUCGAAUGGGUUUGUGAGACACAGGCCAGGAGACACAGGCCAGGAGGCACAGGCCAGGAGACACAGGCCAGGAGACACAGGUCAGGAGGCACAGGGUGCCCAUGGUUCUGGGGGAUGACCCGACACUCGCGUUCACCAGCAGAACUGGAGUAAGUCUGGAACGAUCUACGGCCACUUCCCGACGUUGGGGUCGUUUUCGUAUCAUCACCACCUGAUCAUCAACCACCACGGCUCUAACUAAUCCAUGAUGUUCUAUUUUCAUUGAAUUGAGUUGUAUAGACUAGCUUAAACAAUUGCAAAGCUACUCCUAAAAUCUGCUAGUCCAGUAUAAAAGAUAGUCACAGAUGAAUCUCUGCUUUUUUUU
Long non-coding RNA from Gadus macrocephalus (Pacific cod), 2223 nucleotides. RefSeq lists it as uncharacterized. The transcript has 2 exons. The record is from RefSeq and is a predicted model, not a curated record. NCBI's taxonomy places the organism in Eukaryota, Metazoa, Chordata, Actinopteri, Gadiformes, Gadidae.